GGUUGAUGCCUAUUUAUAGGCAUCUUAGGAGGUUUCCAGAGUUCUUACGUGGGGGAGGAUAGAGGCCUUUCUUUUCGCCACUUUCUCUUAAACUGACUCCACUUUUCUUUUUGUUGCAGGAAAUGGGGGAGCCGCUGAUUUUGGAAUGAAUGCAGAUGGCCAAGUUUGUAUCCAGCGGGCUAUUGACAAGGCCGGGAAAGAGUUUGUCACGGGUCUAGAGUACAGGCGUUCUUCUCCAUUUGCCCAAUUUUCAUUUUGGCUGCUUCUUUGCUCCUCCGUGUUUAACUUCAGAAUGCUUGUCAUUACUUUUAUAUAGAAGAGGAAACCACAUUUAGCUUUCUGUUUAUUUUUGAUAUGACAAAAGCUCCUUUUGUAUC
Molecule: non-coding RNA, 377 nt
Organism: Malus domestica (apple)
Lineage: Eukaryota; Viridiplantae; Streptophyta; Magnoliopsida; Rosales; Rosaceae
Source: RefSeq, a predicted model, not a curated record